Molecule: transfer-messenger RNA, 371 nt
Filed under: Thermoleophilaceae bacterium
Lineage: Bacteria; Bacillati; Actinomycetota; Thermoleophilia; Thermoleophilales; Thermoleophilaceae
Rfam family: transfer-messenger RNA
About the family: Bacterial tmRNA, also known as 10Sa RNA or SsrA, is named for its dual tRNA and mRNA-like properties. Its role is to liberate the mRNA from a stalled ribosome.
Source: RNAcentral
GGGGACGACAGGCUUCGACGUGGACGUUUACGUGGGGGCAGUUGCGAGUCGAGGUUGCCGGUCGGCCUCGUAAAACAACCGGCACAAACACAAAUGCGGAUGAGAAUCACUCGUUCGCGCUCGCUGCCUAGCAAAAGCUAGCCAGCGGUGCUCUUGGCCUCCCCUCGCCUACGGGGGAGAUGUCCGAGAUCAAUCAGUGGGCUUGCUCCCUUCGUGCGCCUCUGGCGAAGGGGGGACUCUUCACAGAGGCUGGUCCCCAGCAACCCCGCCGGCCAGGCGAGCUGAGGACGAGAUCAGAGGGCCGGAUACGCUCGUAGACGCUGCUCUUCACGCGGCCGCGGACGUGGGUUCGAUUCCCACCGUCUCCAUAA